RNAcentral lists this ribosomal RNA (733 nucleotides) under uncultured Pelagibacterales bacterium. RNAcentral's name for it is "bacterial SSU rRNA". It matches the Rfam family "Bacterial small subunit ribosomal RNA", at positions 409 to 1160 of the family's 1533-position model. The record is from RNAcentral. Lineage: Bacteria; Pseudomonadati; Pseudomonadota; Alphaproteobacteria; Candidatus Pelagibacterales.
AGAAGGCCUUUGGGUUGUAAAGCUCUUUCGUCGGGGAAGAAAAUGACUGUACCCGAAUAAGAAGGUCCGGCUAACUUCGUGCCAGCAGCCGCGGUAAUACGAAGGGACCUAGCGUAGUUCGGAAUUACUGGGCUUAAAGAGUUCGUAGGUGGUUAAAAUAGUUGGUUGUGAAAUCCCGAAGCUUAACUUCGGAACUGCAAUCAAAACUUUUUAGCUAGAGUAUGAUAGAGGAAAGCAGAAUUUCUAGUGUAGAGGUGAAAUUCGUAGAUAUUAGAAAGAAUACCAAUUGCGAAGGCAGCUUUCUGGAUCAUUACUGACGCUGAGGAACGAAAGCAUGGGUAGCGAAGAGGAUUAGAUACCCUCGUAGUCCAUGCCGUAAACGAUGUGUGUUAGACGUUGGAAAUUUAUUUUCAGUGUCGCAGCGAAAGCAAUAAACACACCGCCUGGGGAGUACGACCGCAAGGUUAAAACUCAAAUGAAUUGACGGGGACCCGCACAAGUAGUGGAGCAUGUGGUUUAAUUCGAAGAUACGCGCAGAACCUUACCAACACUUGACAUGUUCAUCGCGACUCUAAGAGAUUAGAGUUUUCGGUUCGGCCGGAUGAAACACAGGUGCUGCAUGGCUGUCGUCAGCUCGUGUCGUGAGAUGUUGGGUUAAGUCCCGCAACGAGCGCAACCCUCACUUUUAGUUGCCAUCAUUUAGUUGGGCACUCUGAAAGAACUGCCAGUGAUA